Molecule: long non-coding RNA, 1127 nt
Filed under: Olea europaea subsp. europaea
Lineage: Eukaryota; Viridiplantae; Streptophyta; Magnoliopsida; Lamiales; Oleaceae
Source: RNAcentral
CAACAACACAAAGCCUCUCGCUCUCUCUGUGUAAACUCCAUGAAAUAAAGAGAGUAUCAGUAUAUAUUUUGUUACAUAUAGAGAGAGAGGAAUUAAAUGGGGAAAUAUGUGGAGAUGUUGGAUUUAGGAGUGAGAAUAGCAGCCAGGUUUCAUUCUCACUACCCACAAACUGCCCGGUUGUACUACCACCCUCCGUCCAACUCCGGCAGCCACCACGACCGCGGCCUCGACCAGUUACAAAAUGGAGGCAGAAGCCAUGCACUGAAUAAUCAAGAUUCAACUGAUCAUAUGGCUAGUAGUUAUGCUGACAAGACUUCCAUCAGUUUUGAUGUUACUGAAAUUUUUGUUUAUUCUUUGGUUUGAAAAUUGAAUGGUAAUAUAAUUAUUUUCACAUUCGAUAUUAUUUGUUACACAUUUUUUUGCAAUAUGUUUCUUUAGAUUAGGAUCUACAUUUACAAACUAUAUACGAUCAGGAGGCAUAAUCUUCGUACGUAAUAAAUUAUAACUUUUAUUGAUCACCUGCUUUUUGAUACUUAAAAGUACUUUCUUUUCGUUAAACUUAUUAAGAAAGUAAGUCUUGCUAGUAAAAAAUGGAAAAACAACGGACAGAAGUGAAGCAAGCGAUUAUUAGCUCCGUUUUCCCAAGGUUUCCACCUUACUAACAUAGCUGAAGGUCCUAAUCCUGUACGCAUGAGACUAGAGGCGUCAAGUAAAUUUCGUCGAAAUGAAUAUGAUUAGACAAGCAACUAAAGAUUUUUUUUGUACAUGUUUCUUGAUAAGUGUGUUUUUACACACUUAUUUAGUUCACAAAUAUGACUUAAUAAUGAGUUAAAUAUUUGAAUUGUGGCUUAAUUCUAUGCUAUUUUUGUAUUGUAGGUUAUGUUGAUGAAUGUGAUAGAAUUCACAAGAAAAGAUUCAAAAAAGGACCAAAUUGAAAAAAAAAUUGAAAAUUUCAGGGACCAAAGUGCAAUUAAUCAAAAGAUCAUCCAAAAGCAGAAGCGAGGAGAUGAACGCGCUAAGUACCAAUUGAUUGAAGACACAAGGUUUUGGAAGAAAAAGAAAUGGAAAAGGAGGAGGCCUAGAAAUAUGAGAAAGAAAUUGAAGGACUAAAAUGCAUUACAUAAAAG